This 497-nucleotide ribosomal RNA is filed under the name uncultured bacterium. RNAcentral describes it as "partial 16S ribosomal RNA". It matches the Rfam family "Bacterial small subunit ribosomal RNA", at positions 28 to 507 of the family's 1533-position model. The record is from RNAcentral.
GAUGAACGCUGGCGGCGUGCCUAAUACAUGCAAGUCGAGCGAACAGACGAGGAGCUUGCUCCUCUGACGUUAGCGGCGGACGGGUGAGUAACACGUGGAUAACCUACCUAUAAGACUGGGAUAACUUCGGGAAACCGGAGCUAAUACCGGAUAAUAUAUUGAACCGCAUGGUUCAAUAGUGAAAGACGGUUUUGCUGUCACUUAUAGAUGGAUCCGCGCCGCUUUAGCUAGUUGGUAAGGUAACGGCUUACCAAGGCAACGAUGCGUAGCCGACCUGAGAGGGUGAUCGGCCACACUGGAACUGAGACCCGGUCCAGCCUCCUACGGGAGGCAGCAGUAGGGAAUCUUCCGCAAUGGGCGAAAGCCUGACGGAGCAACGCCGCGUGAGUGAUGAAGGUCUUCGGAUCGUAAAACUCUGUUAUUAGGGAAGAACAAAUGUGUAAGUAACUAUGCACGUCUUGACGGUACCUAAUCAGAAAGCCACGGCUAACUACGUG